Papaver somniferum (opium poppy) is the source of this 1074-nucleotide long non-coding RNA. RefSeq lists it as uncharacterized. The transcript has 3 exons. Lineage: Eukaryota; Viridiplantae; Streptophyta; Magnoliopsida; Ranunculales; Papaveraceae. The record is from RefSeq and is a predicted model, not a curated record.
AAGAAAUCUCCUUCUCCCUCACCUUGUUUGCUAAAUCAGUAUCAAAAUCUCAAAGGUUAUAGUUUUAUUUUCUUUCUUCUCAUUCUCUCGUUCUCCUCUCCAGAUGAAAUCCCAACUUUGUCAUAUCUCCUCAUCUUCAUCCUUCUAUUAAGAACCAGAAAGAAAACCAAUUUUCUUCUUGUAUUCAUCUCUACAGAUCCAUUUGCUAAUUACCUUAACCAAUCGACCUUCAUGAACCUAAAAGCCACCACUACGAACCAGAAAGAAAAACUCAACCAUUAAAAUCCCUUCUUCUAAAACCAUUUCUUCGAAACCCUUACCUUCGAAAUAAACCCAUUUUCUAUUGUUCUUGAAUCAAUUUCAUGUUCGAAAGAAACCCACUUUCAUUUUUCUUCACAAUUUCCUUUUCGUGCUUGUUAGGGGUUUUAUUUUCUACAAACUUUAUCAGGUAAAAGUUGGGAUUUUUCUCUAAUUUUCAUCAUUAGAGUCAGGGUUUGAUUUUGGUUGGCAGGGUUUUAAUUAUCACUCAGUUUAUUGUAGCAAAUUGCUAGAAGAACAUUUAACAUCUUUGAAGAUUUCCAACCUUCAGAUCGUUGGUGGUGGUGGAGGUUGUGUGGACUGAACUGGUGUUGAUGACUGGAUGCUUGGAGAGGGAAUCAAUGAAUUCGAUAAAGCACUGGUGGUGAUGGUAACCAGCUCGGUGGUGGUGGUGUAGGUUGUAUGGACUGAACUAGUGGUGGUGAAGAGGUGUUUGGAGAGGGAGAGCAAUUUGCAGGUGCUGUUAAAAGGGUGAACAUGAACUUAUGGGAAAGGUCUUCUUUGGUAUUGUUGUUGGUGCAAAUUCAGGCCAAUCUCUUGCUUGACAAGCACCAUUAGGUGCAGGGUUACCUAAUACUGUAAUCUGCACUACCACAAACAAAGUUUGGGCAUCAUGAAUGAAAGUAAUUUAGAAAUAUGGCUUAUAUGCUGCAAUCUGUGCUUCCGUAGCAAUGCUAAGUAUCUGGUGCUAUUCCUCGAAGAUUCACAGGGCAACCCGGAGCUGUGCAAUUCCAAAUGAAAAUUGUUAACAAUAAG